GACGAACGCUGGCGGCGCGCCUAACACAUGCAAGUCGAACGAGAGAGAGGAAGCUUGCUUCCUUAAUCGAGUGGCGGACGGGUGAGUAACGCGUGAGCAACCUGCCUCCUCAGGAGGGGGAUAACGUUUGGAAACGAACGCUAAUACCGCAUAACAUAUCUUUACCGCAUGAGUAGAGAUAUCAAAGGAGCAAUCCGCUGGAGAGAUGGGCUCGCGUCCGAUUAGCUAGUUGGUGGGGUAACGGCCUACCAAGGCGACGAUCAGUAGCCGGACUGAGAGGUUGAACGGCCACAUUGGGACUGAGAUACGGCCCAG
Molecule: ribosomal RNA, 315 nt
Filed under: uncultured bacterium
Lineage: Bacteria
Description: bacterial SSU rRNA
Rfam family: Bacterial small subunit ribosomal RNA
Source: RNAcentral